Molecule: non-coding RNA, 112 nt
Organism: Acanthosepion pharaonis
Lineage: Eukaryota; Metazoa; Mollusca; Cephalopoda; Sepiida; Sepiidae
Source: the annotation of a GenBank genome assembly
UUACGGCCAUAUUACAUUGAAACACCAGUUCUCGUAGGAUCACUGAAGUUAAGCAAUAUCAGAAAUGGCCAGUACCUAGAUGAGUGACUGCUUGGGAACACCAGAUGUUGUA